Long non-coding RNA from Perognathus longimembris pacificus (Pacific pocket mouse), 1606 nucleotides. RefSeq lists it as uncharacterized. The transcript has 2 exons. The record is from RefSeq and is a predicted model, not a curated record. Lineage: Eukaryota; Metazoa; Chordata; Mammalia; Rodentia; Heteromyidae.
GCGGGAGGGGUCGCGCCCGGGGUCACGCUAGGGCAGAGCGGGCUAGACGAGGCCGGGGCGGGGGCUGUGGGCAGGGAUGGCGGCCUUCCCGGGGGCCCGGGAGCGGGAGGAAGGCAGCGGGGCGGGCGGAGCCGCGGGCCGGCGGGCGCGGGCCUUGGGCCCCGGGGUAGGAAGGAGCCUGAGCGGCUCGGGCGGCAGGUGGGCCGGGCCGGGGGGAGGCCGGCCUCGAGCCCGGCAGUGCCACCAUCCAUCCCCCUUUUCUUCCAGACCAGGGCUGGUGCGCCCAGCUGGGGAGGAGGCCGGGUCUUGUGGAGACUGGACUUAGCUUCGCGGGGCGGCAGUGCCCCCCACCCUGGACUUUGCCUAGAUCUGGUGCUAACCUCUCCCGUGAGCUCCCUCUGCCCUCUCCUCCCUCCUAACUCUGAGGUUACCCCUUCACUUAAAACCUUUCUGGUCAUCUGGUAAGCCCUGGGGAGUCCAGAGCCCCUGGAGUCGGUAUUUGAUGGUAACCCGGUCGAGUUGGCUUGUGGGUGGGGUGGGGCGGUGUGGCUUUGGCUGAGGGUGGAGACUGAACCGACCACUCUUGGAUGGGCCUCUACAGCAGGGGUCUCCACCGGAAGUCACCGGCCGAGGUUUGUGACUGUAGUGUCCAUCCUGGCGAGCAGCUGGCACCCGGAGAAAUGGAGCCCCUGCGGGUGUGAGUCAUAGCUGUGCAGGCGGGGACAGCCUGGAGGAUGCGGCCCGCUUAAGUUGACGCCCGCAGAGUGAAUUCCCGAGUCUUAGGAGGAGGAAGCUCGCCAGUGCCAUGUGUCCAGCCAGGCCUUGCUCAGGAAGCCCUGUAUUCAGGCGGCCAGCCACCCCUUAAGUUUAUGAGCUUGUGGUGGGGGGGGCGAUCAGAAGUCCAAAGCAGACGCAUCCGUCCUUGAAUGAGUGAAUGAAUGCUCUGGGAGCACCCUUCUCCAGGCACGUGAAUGCCAGCAGGCACCCCCUUCUUUCCUGGGGAUAGAGGUUUUUCACAUGCUGCAUCUUCCAGUCGUUCUAGUUUUGUGCCACUACCUUUGCUUCCAGAAGAUUCUUUAAGCAGUAGAACAUUGUAAACGUUGGUGCCACAGCGCAGAAUGACGCCCUGUAUAGAUGGCUGCCGACGGAGCCAGUGACCUCGCCUACCUACCCACGUGCCUGUGUACUGGCUGCAGAGAAUGUUAAUGCUCUUAGAGAACUUUCGGGUGGUGGGGAAAAGCUGUUCAAUUUUAAAUGCCUUAGGCUGAGGGGACCUUAUUAAACAUUGUCAAGUUGGGGGGGGCGGCGCGGGGUGUCAUGUUGUGUGGUACUCUUCCGCCUCAUCGUUCUCAUUCUGUGUGGGUGGUGGCAGGUUUCAUCCGGAGGCCUGACAAGGUGUACAUGCUGCUGAGUUGGAAAUGAUGGGUGGGCUGGUACCGACCUUUGGGGUUUUGAUUAUUUAUUUCUGAGUGCUAGGCAAGUGCUCCGCCUCUGAGCUACAACACCACUAGUUCAUGGUUUUCAUUCUUGAUGCAUUUUGUUCAUACGUGCCGGCAUGGGUUGAAUGCAUUGGCCUUCAGUUUUUAAAUUCUGCACGUCACUGGAA